This 419-nucleotide long non-coding RNA is filed under the name Salvia miltiorrhiza (redroot sage). RNAcentral describes it as "long non-coding RNA (SMIL_LNC004583)". Lineage: Eukaryota; Viridiplantae; Streptophyta; Magnoliopsida; Lamiales; Lamiaceae. The record is from RNAcentral.
UUAGUCUUCGCUCUCCAGUUCAAAUCGCAACGGCGCAGCGGAAGGUAGGUAAUCAUUUUAUGCUAUUCAUGAUUCUUAUUUUUGUGAUAAUUUUCGUUGAUAAUUGAUUAGAUUAUUCAUACGCAAUUUGUAUACCCUGCUUUCUAAAGGAAAAAAUUCAAUAAAUAGAAUUAGGGCUUCUAAUUUGGGGAUGUUCUUACUCUGAAUCAGUAUUAUGUAAAAUCUGCAGUGUUGAUGGAGCAGCGGUGGUGCCGUGGUGGUGACUGGUGAGGAUCGUCGCCGGUCGUCGUUGGAGUUGGGCCGGCAAGAGGCGGCGUUGGUGUUGCUAAUUGCGAAGAGAAAGAGAGCAAAAUUUCAGUGAACCGAUGAAAUGAAAGGAAAACUAGGAUUGCAGCUAAAAUAAUAUUGUUUAUUUAUUU